CAUGAGGGCAGGACCUGUGUUUAUAUUUGUCACCACUGCAUUCCCCAAGCCUGGCACAGUGCUGCAGGAGUGUGUGUGUAAUGUCUGAAUGAGAAAAGGAAUGGGUGCUGGGUGUCCUCGGGAAUGGAGGUGUGUGAUGCCUGGGUCUCCCUACCCUUGCUCUUAAUACUGCUUUCUUGUUGCUUAUAAUUUUCAUUGCCCUAGAUGAUCCAGCUCUGUCGGAGGCACGUAGGCACAGCCAAAUCUCAUGCUGUACAUUGAUCACCUGUCCAACCUUUGCCUAGAGUGGGAGCCCCCAGUUCCUUCAAGAGAUCCAACUUUACCUGUCUGUAAAGAAGAGGAGGAGGGAGACAGCAGGGAGGAUCCGGUGGCAGUUUAACACCAGAGCAGGUCCAAUGUUUACUUUUACCCUUUUGGAGCUAUCAGAAGGGCUGAAUAAAGGGAGACUGCAGCUCUGCAGCAAUAUUCGGAUAAUCUAUUGCAGUGCGGUUCCCAUCACUGUCCACCACCACCUGGAACAGCUCAUCAGAACCGAAGAGGAGUAUUCACUUGCAUUAUGGAGUGCGAGUCUGUUCUACUUGAUACUUCUUUCAUCAUCUCUUGUCAUUUCUCAUGGAUUCGGAUAUGUUGGGAAGGAGGAAUGCAGGGGAAGAGAAAAAAUGGCAGGUCCUUCAUUUCCUUGGGAUGUAGGCGUUGAAAACAUGAUCAUCUCUUCUGAACGUCAUUAUCUGAUAACAUUUUAUUUUUGGUACUUAGAUAUCGUUGGAUAAAUUUGAAUUCUAUGGAAUUUUAACUGUGGAUUUAGCUUCUGUUGGACAACUAGCUUCAUCUCCAGUUAUCCUGCUGGUUCAGUCGAAGUGGUCAUUCCUAAUGCAUUAGAUUAUCAAAAAGUAGAGACUUUCUGUGAGUGAGUACUGUUGGCGGUGUUUGUAUACCAAGAUGUGUGGAGUGGUUGACAAAGAAACCAAAACACCAAAAAUUGCUAGCCUCUACCCUCCUCUGUUUCUUUAAUCUGCUGUUUGAGGAACCACAUUUUGAUGGUGUAACCAGUAGUUACCUCUGGGCCAGGUUGGAAAUGAAUCAAUUUUUUAAACCACUAAUACUUGCCAAGAAAUCGCCUUAUGAGAACAUGGUGUGUGUCUCUGACAAUGCAUGGCACAUCUAAAUUGGUCAUUCAUAAUUUUAUCUAGCCUGUCCAUGUACUGAAAGAGUGGCAAAAGCCUGAGGCACCUCCGUCUCUCUGCUCCCUGUGUUCCGUGCACCCCAUGGCUGGGACGUGGCCAAGCCUCAGACUCUUCCCAUUCCCGUACGUGCAGGUCUCCAUGAAGAAGCUGGGACUCGUUCACAUUUCAAGAUCCAAAUGCUGUGCAAACAGUGUAAGCGUAGAUCUUUCUGUAAAUGAAGGGUCAUUUCUCUCUCUCUCUCUUUUUUAAAUUUGUCUCCAACGUGGAUUCCAAAGCAUUUUCAGCAUCAAACAUGAAAACAUUGAUGAAUGAGGAGUAAUCAUAAAAGCUGUGUAUCUGUAUAUAACUCUGCACAACGUGUAUGCAGGUGCAGAGUCAUUUAAAGCACAUGCCAGGAAAGAGACCAACUUGUAAGGUCUUUUACAUUCGGUGACUUGGUACUAAGGAGAAUUCAACUCCUACUGCUUCCUCUGAAGAUUAAAAAAAAAAAAAAAAAGAAGUUGUCGUAACUUCAUAAAACUCAUGAGUAAGUCUGAAAGUCUGGCAGAUGUGCAACUCUUAUAUUGAUCCAUUUUCUUGUCAGUGGAAGAAACCCUUCCAUGUGUAUGCAAGUGGGAGAUGAAAAUCUGCAUUUGUAAAGGACAAACAAUGAAUUUAAGCAUGAGUGGCCUUAAUAAAUAUAGUUGUCUGUCUUUGCUGCUGUGGAAAGGAUUCUAAACAGAUAUCCCUGAAGUCUUGCAUUGAAUUUAGUCGUUAUUAUUACUUUUUAAAAAAAAAAAAACGUUGGUGCAAUUAACUCUGGACCUCUCUCAUGAGCCAUAGAGAUGUUUAUAAGACAGAGACCUUAUUUAUGGAGGAAGAUGAAACCGUGUCUGAGUUGCACUGUUCAUUCUUGGUGGUUAAUAUAUUCAAGCAGGUUUCUUGCUUCUGGCUUUGUCCUUGUCGUCAGUAAGUAUAGCAAACUACGUAAAGCUUAUGUGUCGCAUAAACAAUCCAAAUACAUUCAUGUUUAAAAAAGUUUGUCCUUUAACUAUCAAAGGGAUUUAGGCUUUGGUUGGAGAAGCGAGCAGAGUUCUUUGCAAGUGUAUCUAGCACAUUUCGACACAAUAUUGCACAGAAAACCCAGGCCACGAAGGUGGCCCCCUGAAGAAUUAGGGUGUCCUUAGAGAGGCGGUCCUCAUUGCCUCCUAAAGCUAGGGCUUGACCUGAACUCGGCAACUGAAUACUUGAAGUAGGAAAUCCACGAGGGAACAUAGGGCCCUCGGAA
Molecule: long non-coding RNA, 2451 nt
Organism: Trichechus manatus latirostris (Florida manatee)
Lineage: Eukaryota; Metazoa; Chordata; Mammalia; Sirenia; Trichechidae
Exons: 2
Source: RefSeq, a predicted model, not a curated record